UACGUAGGGUGCAAGCGUUAAUCGGAAUUACUGGGCGUAAAGCGUGCGCAGGCGGUUUUGUAAGUCUGUCGUGAAAGCCCCGGGCUCAACCUGGGAAUUGCGAUGGAGACUGCAAGGCUUGAAUCUGGCAGAGGGGGGUAGAAUUCCACGUGUAGCAGUGAAAUGCGUAGAGAUGUGGAGGAACACCGAUGGCGAAGGCAGCCCCCUG
This 208-nucleotide ribosomal RNA is filed under the name uncultured bacterium. RNAcentral's name for it is "partial 16S ribosomal RNA". It matches the Rfam family "Bacterial small subunit ribosomal RNA", at positions 524 to 731 of the family's 1533-position model. The record is from RNAcentral.